GACGAACGCUGGCGGCGUGCUUAACACAUGCAAGUCGAACGGAAAGGCCCUGCUUUUGUUGGGUGCUCGAGUGGCGAAAGGGUGAGUAACACGUGAGUAACCUGCCCUUUACUUUGGGAUAACGUCAGGAAACUGGGGCUAAUACGGGAUAGGAGCGCCUGCUGCAUGGGGGGGGUUGGAAAGUUUCGGCGGUUGGGGAUGGACUCGCGGCUGAUCAGCUUGUUGGUGGGGUAGUGGCUUACCAAGGCGUUGACGGGUAGCGGGCCUGCGAGGGUGACCGGACACACUGCGAAUGAGACACCGCCCGGCAUCAGAAGGGAGGCAGGAGUGGUGAAUGUUGCACAAUGGGCGGGAGGCUGAUGCAGCAACGCCGGGUGCGGGAUGGCGGACUUCGGUUUGUCACCCGCAAUCGCCUGUGACGAAGCGUGAGUGACGGUAAUGGGUAAAGAAGCACCGGCUAACUACGUG
This 468-nucleotide ribosomal RNA is filed under the name uncultured bacterium. RNAcentral describes it as "partial 16S ribosomal RNA". It matches the Rfam family "Bacterial small subunit ribosomal RNA", at positions 28 to 507 of the family's 1533-position model. The record is from RNAcentral.